GCGCGGUUAGCUCAGUGGUAGAGCACUACCUUGACACGGUAGGGGUCACAGGUUCAAACCCUGUACCGCGCA
This 72-nucleotide transfer RNA is filed under the name Methylacidiphilaceae bacterium. RNAcentral describes it as "Candidatus Methylacidiphilaceae bacterium tRNA-Val". It matches the Rfam family "tRNA". From Rfam's summary of the family: Transfer RNA (tRNA) molecules are approximately 80 nucleotides in length. Their secondary structure includes four short double-helical elements and three loops (D, anti-codon, and T loops). The record is from RNAcentral. Lineage: Bacteria; Pseudomonadati; Verrucomicrobiota; Methylacidiphilae; Methylacidiphilales; Methylacidiphilaceae.